Molecule: ribosomal RNA, 250 nt
Filed under: uncultured prokaryote
Description: partial 16S ribosomal RNA
Rfam family: Bacterial small subunit ribosomal RNA
Source: RNAcentral
UACGUAGGGAGCGAGCGUUAUCCGGAUUUAUUGGGUGUAAAGGGCGCGUAGACGGAUCUGCAGGUUGGAUGUGAAAUCCCUGAGCUUAACCCAGGAACUGCAUCCAAAACUGUAGACCUUGAGUAUGGGAGAGGAAAGCGGAAUUCCUAGUGUAGCGGUGAAAUGCUCUGAUAUUAGGAAGAACACCAGUGGCGAAGGCGGCUUUCUGGACCAAAACUGACGUUGAGGCGCGAAAGUGUGGGGAGCAAAC